Molecule: long non-coding RNA, 2253 nt
Filed under: Arachis ipaensis
Lineage: Eukaryota; Viridiplantae; Streptophyta; Magnoliopsida; Fabales; Fabaceae
Description: long non-coding RNA (AIPA_LNC002331)
Source: RNAcentral
UUUUUUUUUUUUUUUUUUUUUUUUUUGGUCAAACGGAUUGGACAGCCCCCAAUCCUAGGCAUUACACCCAUGUUUCACACACCCACACAACACACUCACACACACUACCAUGGGUACUAUGGGUUCUUUAAACCACAACCAGCCUCAGCUGGGAUUUGAACCCGGUGCACCUUAGAGCAAGGCAAAUAUAAUUGCCACUCAACCAAGCCUUGCGGUGCUAACUAUUAGUGUUUAAUUGGGCAGUGAAAGAAUUUGGGCCUGAUUUAAUAAGCCCAAUAGAUCAAUAGCCAGAAAAACGCAAGGGCCCAAUGUAGCACCAUAUUUCUCAGUCAUCAGUCAUCACUAAUCACCUCAUGAUUUUAUUUUUAGUAUUAUAAUUUGCAGAGAGACACUGAUAUUUUUUGCGGUCUCUGCAAAGAAAAGAAAAUAAAGAGACAAGAGAAGAGAAGAGAAAAGAGAAGACGAGGUUGUUUUGUUUUGUUGUGUUUCGUGGCAUUCAUGGAAACCUUGGCUACACCUUCCUCUGCAACUCUUCCAUCUCCUUCUUCCCCUUUCUCCAUCUUCCCCUCAACAAGAAGAUUCUCCCUUUCUCCCAAAUCCCUCCACUUUCGUUUAUCUUCCAAGCGUUCGUACUCCUAUUCUUCUUCUAUUCACUUUCCACCAUAAUCAUUUUUCGAUUUCAUCAUCAAUCUUUCAAAUUCAUUCUCUGUUUUUUCAGGUGAUGACGACCAUGAUUCAAACUCCCAAUCCAAUUCCAUGGAAAUCAACAACGACAACUCCAACGCCAACCUCCUCCCAGUUCUCAGCGAUCGCCGCCUCUCCCUUUCUCCGCUCUCGAAAGUAUGUGCCUUUUUCAUUCCCUUUCCUUCUUAAUUUUUAAGCUUCGAUGUAAUUUUGCUCUUCAAAUUUAAAUAUCUCGAAUUUUAUUAGAGUAUCUGUAUUAUAGUUCUGUUGGGUCAUGAAAAAAAAAGAAGCUCAAUUUUUGUUAUUUCAAUGUGUUUCUGAACCUAAAUGCCUAACCUUUUGCAAUAUGGAUAAAAACAUAUCUGUUUUUAAAGUUUUUUGCCCUGAAAACAUUAAAAAGAAUUCAAUUUUGAUUGAGAAUUGUUGUGGGUUUAGGAUGCUGCUAUGGGAUUGGUACUAAGUGCUGCUGCUGGUAGAGGAUGGACAACAGGGUCAGGGAUGGAAGGGCCCUCUGUUCCUGCAGUUGGCCACGACGGCGAAUCAGGAACCGGGAACAUCUCCACUUUCCCAUGGUCUCUCUUCACAAAAUCGCCUCGGCGAAGAAUGCUCGUGGCUUUUACAUGCACCAUCUGUGGCCAGCGAACUACAAGGGCUAUCAAUCCUCAUGCUUACACUGAUGGAACUGUGUUUGUGCAGGUAAUUUGGGAAAUGGAUCCUCUCAAUAUUUUUUAACAAUUGAGGGAGUAAAGUGUAAUCUCUCACUAUUAAUUUUAUAAGUGAGAGCAAGAAAAAACAUGAGAGAGAAAGCAAUAAAGAAUUAGAAAUCACACUUUAUUCUCUCAAUUUUUUUUUAAUAAUUGAGAGGAUCCAUUACGGGUAAUUUGCCUCUCAAUUCUGGAUCUCUAUUCGGAAAAAUUUGAAAAAAAUGGUACAUUAAAUUGGUGACAAUUUCUUUUUUAUCUUUGGUUUCUGAAAUUGUUGGCAGUGCUGUGGAUGCAAUGCAUAUCAUAAGCUGGUGGAUCACUUGAACUUAUUUCAGGAGACGAAUUGUUAUCUGAAUUCAAGUUUCAAUUAUAAAGGACAUGGUUGGGAUGAUCUCAAGUUUAGGUUUAUGGACAUAGAUGAAGACAAUGAUGAUGACAUAUUCCCCAUUUCAUGAGUGAAUUGGCUGCUUAUGGCUAUGGGGUCACCACAUAUUCUCCGGUCUGAUGAUAUCAUCAUAUGGAAUUUUAGUUUAGGUGUCUUUGUAUAUUGUUUAGUUUUUCAUGCAUUAUAGUAAAAUUUGUUGGAGACAGGAUCUUUCAACAAUGUCCAUAAUAUAGUUAUGAAGGUCAUCUGUAUAAUCAUCAAUGGUUUAUUUACGUACAAUUCAUUACAUGCCACUCAACCAAGCCUUGCGGUGCUAACUAUUAGUGUUUAAUUGGGCAGUGAAAGAAUUUGGGCCUGAUUUAAUAAGCCCAAUAGAUCAAUAGCCAGAAAAACGCAAGGGCCCAAUGUAGCACCAUAUUUCUCAGUCAUCAGUCAUCACUAAUCACCUCAUGAUUUUAUUUUUAGUAUUAUAAUUUGCAG